Molecule: small RNA, 114 nt
Filed under: Escherichia coli
Lineage: Bacteria; Pseudomonadati; Pseudomonadota; Gammaproteobacteria; Enterobacterales; Enterobacteriaceae
Also listed under: 1 other name
Description: partial RtT sRNA
Rfam family: RtT RNA
About the family: This family represents a bacterial cis-regulatory element known as RtT RNA.
Source: RNAcentral
UUGCAUUUGAAGCCCAUGAGGAUGAGAACCUCCGGGGGCGGGGAGGUUCGACUCGAGCGAAGCGAGAGAACGUUGCGCCAGCAACGGCCCGCAGGGCGAGCCACGAAGUGGCGA